This 38-nucleotide non-coding RNA is filed under the name Amycolatopsis nigrescens CSC17Ta-90. Its description in RNAcentral is "L31-Actinobacteria ribosomal protein leader". It matches the Rfam family "L31-Actinobacteria ribosomal protein leader". The record is from RNAcentral. Lineage: Bacteria; Bacillati; Actinomycetota; Actinomycetes; Pseudonocardiales; Pseudonocardiaceae.
CCGGCUCCGGUUCACCCCAGUUCGGGGACCCGGCGGCC